AAGCUUAAUGCUUAAUGGCACAUCCCACA
This 29-nucleotide transfer RNA is filed under the name Parabotia mantschuricus (Manchurian spiny loach). RNAcentral's name for it is "tRNA-Asp". The record is from RNAcentral. Lineage: Eukaryota; Metazoa; Chordata; Actinopteri; Cypriniformes; Botiidae.